RNAcentral lists this long non-coding RNA (3121 nucleotides) under Homo sapiens (human). RNAcentral's name for it is "non-protein coding lnc-CPM-3:1". Lineage: Eukaryota; Metazoa; Chordata; Mammalia; Primates; Hominidae. The record is from RNAcentral.
AUAAUGCAAGCCCUUGCAUGGCAAUCCAAAUUUAUUGAACUACUGAUGCUAAGUUAUACAAAAUUGCACCACUUUAAUUAAGGCUUUUAGUUUACAUUUGGCCACCUCAAAGUAGUUGUAACAUUAGGUUGGUCAAUUUAAAUACUGUGGCUCCCUGUUGGAUAGACACACAAUCUUUACAUCCAAACAUUAAUGCAUACAAAGCAACAAGGCAUUGUUAAAUAAAACAGCAAUAGUUACUGCAAAUUAGGCCUUGUGACCAAUUACAUAUGAUUAAAAUUACUUCCCACAUUCACAUCCACAGUACUCGUCCACCAUUUAACAUCUCAACCAAAACGUUACACAUGUGAAACAAUCACUAACAGGCAAAAAUACUAAACCUGUAUAUUUGGUAUUGCAAAUACACUUAUGCAUGAGCAAGCAAGGGAUUCACAGUGAGAAUCUACAGCUGCAGAAGCCUGAAAAUGAUUUACAAAAAUUGUUAAAUCAUUAAAAAAUUGUUUGAAAAUAUACACUUCUUGUUGUAGACCCCCACUGUACACACGACUAUAAACAUUGUUCCCUAUGUAAACAAAAAAAGGAAACAUAUAAUAAGAGAUUUGAAAAGUCUGGACAUUUCCUUCCCAACAGAUAUUAAAGGCAACGUCUUUAAUCUAAGACAUUAUACUGAAAGGACUAUCAUGUUUUAAAGACAAGAUCACCGUCUCCACAGGUUUUUUAAAAAUUAAAAAAACUAUAUAGCUGUGUUAAUCAAAGCGCUUAUUUUGUACAAUAAUAAUGACCUUGAAUUUCUUAAAAAAAAUUACAAUAAGCUACAAGUAUCAAAGAAGCGAAGUUAUCUGGAGUAGUCUAUAUAGGAGCUCUUUGGACUUUCUUUUAUUAUGCUAAAAUAGUGGUGCUUUUAGGAUUUACAUUAUUGUACUCUCCAAUACAAAGUAUGGGGCAUGUUAAAGUAUACAGUACACCAUUUUCAUACAUGUACAACAUUGGUGGAUGAAGAAUGUCUCUUAGCAGUAAUACUGGAUGUAGCCUCUGGUUUUACCAGCUGCAAACUCUAGGACUAUUAUAUAAGUAAAAAUCUCUCUUGUGAUACUGGAAAGUGAUUAGAAUGUGCAAACUGAUAUAGUAGCUUUCAUCCGCCUCUUAAAGGGUACCACCACAGGAAAGUCCAUUUAAGAUGUUGGUAGGUUUAACAAAGUUGGAAUGCUGGCACUGUUGAAUUGGGCAACAGUUCUUCAGACCUGUCAAAAGGAAAAAAAUUAAUUAAAAACAUGGGCUAGAAAAAGUAAAGACCCAAAAGCAAACAGUUAAGAAAACAGUCUUAAAAGUGUUAGAAAUGAAUAUAAUCUAGGCUCUUGUUCUAGGCAUUACAUUAGUGGCAACAUACCACAAUUCACGGCAGACCUUUUCAUUCCAAAAAGAUGAAGUCUAUUCUGCUGCCCUCUUGAAAGUCAGUUAAAUGAAAAUCUUAGGAACAGAAAGGGAAAGUACCUUUGUGCAAAUUUUUGUGCAUUACCUUCCAAGGAUUAAAAAGGAAAAAAAUCACAUUAAAAUUGUUAGUCAAGUCAACCUUAUUAGAAUUAGGAUUGAAAAGUCAGAUAGCAAUAUUAACAAACUGGGUGAUCCUGUGUUUACACAAUCGUAAUGUACUCCUAGAAUUAGAUCAUAAGUAUAGAAUGCACAUCUAACCAAGGUUUCUAGUAUCAGAUAAUCAAGUUCUUCCUCACUCUUUCAAUGAAAGUGGCUAAAAAGCUCGUUCAGAGCAGACAAAUAGAAUUUAUUUCAUGAUGGUGUUUUACAGAUUUACAAUCACGUUAUAUAAUUUCUAAUUCCAUAUUUAAACAUUCUAUUAAGACUGAUGUCAGAAAAAGGUGGUAUUACACUAAAAUCACAUGUAAUUAAAGAUUUUAAAAAGUAAACUUAGAAUUGUUAAAUAUGUACUUUGAAUAGUUUUCUGCAUACAUGCCUCGGCUAAAAAAAUGUUCCCUAUUAUAUUUUUCUGGUGAUCAGACUUGUUACAAGCUCCAGAAGAGUUGUUAAUACAUAUGUGGCUGUUGAAAUAAUUUUCACAAAUGCCUAGAACUUUAGGUCCUCAUUCUGAGUCUGAAUGAGGUUUGCAAUCAAGUUUUCUAAAUCCUGGCAGACUGUUGCAAAUUAAAAAGGACAGAUGGAAGUGUGUGAGCUCAAGCACAUGUGUGCUGCUAAGAAUGGGCAUGUGGUCAGGAAUUAUAGGAUAUUAGAAUGAGAGGAUAUACCACUAAACAGAAAGCCCUAGAUGGAAGGCAGGAAUAAAAACUCUGAAAAGAUGCAGAAUCAAAGUGCUAUGGCAGCACUGAGUCAAUUAACAUAGGAAGAAAUAAGAGUCAGGAAUGUCAAAGGUUCUUAAGAAUAAAUUAACAGUUUAACAAUAAACAGUUUAAUGACAGCUGAAGAGGAAACCAUUAUCAUUGGCAAACAGCAGCAGCUAAUAGUUGAGUGUUAACUAUGUGCCAGGUACCGAUGCAAGAUCUGUGCAGCAAACCCCAUGGUACACCUUUACCUAUGUAACAAACCUGCACAUCCUGCACAUGUAUCCUGGAACUUAAAAGUUGAAGGAAAAAAAAAAAAGUGGCACAUGAUGAACAUGUCAGGGGUGUGUGUGUGUGUGUGACUGGCACAUGAUGAACAUGUCAGGGGUGUGUGUGUGUGUGUGUGUUUUAAAUUAGGGACGGUUGGCUGGGAGCGGUGGCUCACGCGCACGCGCGCACGUGUGUGUGUGUGUGUGUGUGUGUGUGUGUGUGUGUGUGUGUGUGUGUUUUAAAUUAGGGACGGGGUUGGCUGGGAGUGGUGGCUCACGCCUGUAAUCUCAGCACUUUGUUUCAGUCUUAAGAGCUUAAAUUUGAUUUUUAAAUUAGAAAUUGACUAAUUGUUAUGUAUACACACAUACAUGCAGGAUCAACUGACCUCCCCAUCACUUUGGAUACAAAUGAAAAAGCAGUUCAUUUCACAUUGUAUGUACUUCUCAGUUUGUUCCAAGCAUGACACUUCUCAGCUAGGUGGCCUUUCUAAGUGGCCAAGAUGGUUUAUCUUAUGAGUGAGACAGAAGGUCAAUCUAUUUGCUUGUGAGGCUUUGCUAAGCUCU